CCUACGGGGGGCAGCAGUAGGGAAUAUUGCUCAAUGGGGGAAACCCUGACGCAGCAACGCCGCGUGGAGGAUGAAGGUUUUCGGAUUGUAAACUCCUUUUGUUAGAGAAGAUAAUGACGGUAUCUAACGAAUAAGCACCGGCUAACUCCGUGCCAGCAGCCGCGGUAAUACGGAGGGUGCAAGCGUUACUCGGAAUCACUGGGCGGAAAGAGCGCGUAGGCGGGAUAGCAAGUCAGAUGUGAAAUCCUAUGGCUUAACCAUAGAACUGCAUUUGAAACUGUUAUUCUAGAGUAUGGGAGAGGUAGGUGGAAUUCUUGGUGUAGGGGUAAAAUCCGUAGAGAUCAAGAGGAAUACUCAUUGCGAAGGCGACCUGCUAGAACAUAACUGACGCUGAUGCGCGAAAGCGUGGGGAGCAAACAGGAUUAGAUACCCCAGUAGUC
Molecule: ribosomal RNA, 440 nt
Filed under: uncultured bacterium
Lineage: Bacteria
Description: partial 16S ribosomal RNA
Rfam family: Bacterial small subunit ribosomal RNA
Source: RNAcentral